Molecule: ribosomal RNA, 484 nt
Filed under: uncultured bacterium
Lineage: Bacteria
Description: partial 16S ribosomal RNA
Rfam family: Bacterial small subunit ribosomal RNA
Source: RNAcentral
AUUGAACGCUGGCGGCAGGCCUAACACAUGCAAGUCGAGCGGAUGAAGGGAGCUUGCUCCUGGAUUCAGCGGCGGACGGGUGAGUAAUGCCUAGGAAUCUGCCUGGUAGUGGGGGAUAACGUCCGGAAACGGGCGCUAAUACCGCAUACGUCCUGAGGGAGAAAGUGGGGGAUCUUCGGACCUCACGCUAUCAGAUGAGCCUAGGUCGGAUUAGCUAGUUGGUGGGGUAAAGGCCUACCAAGGCGACGAUCCGUAACUGGUCUGAGAGGAUGAUCAGUCACACUGGAGCUGAGACACGGUCCAGACUCCUACGGGAGGCAGCAGUGGGGAAUAGUGGACAAUGGGCGAAAGCCUGAUCCAGCCAUGCCGCGUGUGUGAAGAAGGUCUUCGGAUUGUAAAGCACUUUAAGUUGGGAGGAAGGGCAGUAAGUUAAUACCUUGCUGUUUUGACGUUACCAACAGAAUAAGCACCGGCUAACUUCGUG